AAAACAGUGCCCUUUGAGGUCUGUGAGAGAUCCGUUGUGCACAUGGAGCUAGAAAUAAAGCCUGGCAUAAGCAUCAGUACGAUACCUACAAAUGACACAGCCACAGAAAUACAUUAAGCAACGGUGGCAAACUAUCGCCUUGGACACCCAGCUGUGUUUGCUCUUUGAUAGUUUUGUGGUCCUGUGGUCUUAGACCCUUACACAGCAGAUGGGUGUUUUAUAACUUGGUGUUGUUUGCAGGGGAGAGGGGGAGGUGAGUUUUUUUAGUGUGUUGUUUUUUUGUUUGUUUGUUUGUUUGCUGUGGAUGUGUUUUGUAUACAUGGUGCAAUUCAGCUAACUGGCAGGAAGGCCUUCAUCUCACUGUGGAAAUGGUGUGCUGUAAUGCUCUGCUAUGGAGAAGCAAUCUUUGAUGAAACUGAAAAAUUUUUAACAAAACAACACCGCAGAGAUCCUGUGUUAUUUGUACUGCUGCCAGCAGGAAUAUCUGAGUGCUUCACAUCUGAAAUAAGCUUGAGAUUUGCUGCUUCCAGCACCGAUUGGAAGCAAGGUGAGGUAGUAAGCUUGCUCUGAUUCACAAAAGUGCAAUGUAACUUCUUUGAGUUCUGGGAUGCUCUUGAUCAUCCUUUCCACAAUUUCCAGAAGGACAUUUUGAGCUGUACUACUGUUAAAUCUCAUACUGCAGUCGUAUUUCAUACACAUAUACUAGAACUGUGUCUGCUACCCUAGCAUGGGAGUUCUGUUUGGUCUGCCAUUUACCUUCACCUCUUUUCCCUCAGCCUAUGGUACUUGGUUUGUAAGCCAGCAUCAAUAACCAACAAUGAAUAACAAAUGCUUGCUGUAGUCAUUUCAUGGUGUUUAUUAGCACAGGCUGGUCCCUGAGCAGUGGCAGAGAAUAAAAUAAUGAGUACCUCAGAGUGUACUCAAUUUACAAGCAGCAGUGAAGGGACUACUUAACUACAAAGGGCAAUGCAAUGCCUAAAUGAAAAGGGCAAGAAGCCCAACUUGGAGAGAUGGGUUUAACCUUCCUAGCUGCUGGUUAAUGCUACAUCUAGACAAGUAGUUAUUUCUAAUAUACAAUGGAGUGACUUGUUUAUCAACUCAAAAUUAUGGCAUUUACUUUAUUUUCAAUCCAUCUUGAAUGUGUAUGAGUGUUUUCUGUGUACUUAAAAAGAAAAAAAGAAAAAAACCUGCUUAAAAAGUCUUAAAGUCAAUUUCUGCUGUCACUCAAGUGUCACUUUAAGGCCAGCCCCUCUCAAAAACCCAUGGCUGUUUGAUUUUUGUUUUCAGAAAAAAAGCCAGAAGUGAUAGAACUUGCCAAAUCUUUCCUUUUCCUUGAAAGCACAGAUGUCUAAGGGAGCCCUGCUUUGCAAGGACUUCUGCAACCUUUGUUUUUUGACUCCUCAGGAAUGUGACACAUUGUUAUCACAGUUGCCUAAGAUGCUUUAGCUGCAGGUUUAUCAUAUACUGCAGGCUCAUGAACUACUUCCCUGGGGACCACGCUUCAUUCUUGAUUUACAUGGUGUCUCCUCACUAGCCAGCACCAUUCAAUUCCUGUCCUCUUGACAUCCUGUCUUAGAAACUGACCUUCUAUUCUAUGUUAGCUGCCCUGAGUUGCUAUUGAAAGAAUGCCUGCUGUUCAGGAAGACGCACAGUGGUGUCUGGCAAGGGAAAACAGUGCUGGAAUUUCAGUGAUGCAAAGACAUACAUAGAAAAAGCCAUCUGAGGAAAAGCAGCCACGUUUAUGUUCCUGUCUUUGAAUUGAUAAACUGUACAGAUUUGGAAUUUUCCUAUAUUAAUACAGGUGCACAAGAAUGCAGAGGCACAUUUAAAAAAAAGCAAAAACAAAAAGCCAACACACAAAGCCCCAGCUUCCAAAACACUUGCUUAUUUCCAAUGUGCAUUUAGGGAGAUGCCAGCGUGGAGUUUUGGUGUCUUGGUGGUUGUUUUUGUGUGUGUUUGUGUCUUUUCAUUUUAGGUUUUUAGGGAAUUCGGUUUUGAGAUGAAGAAAAUAAAUAUUCCCUUUCUGGGAAUACACUGCCAAAUUGUCAAAGUUUUUUGGAGUUCUUGCAUAAUAAUCAUGUAGAUUUUGAUGAAGACAUCUGUGGCCUUUGCAGGAUCCUUGCAGGACGUCUUUAAUUUGAUGAACACUAUCUUGAGGACGCAGAGAAUUGCUUAUGUCUUUUCCCUUCAUGGUCUGGGGGAUUCCAAGAAUAGUUAUCUCUGAGGACUUCAUCUGUUCUGGGAUGCUGACUGAUCUGUAGAAGUCUGGUUUUGUCACCGUAUUUGAAACAACUCAGAGCUGACAAAAGGGAAUUCAAUCUAUUUUGCUAUUUGAAGCCACUGGCUAUAAGCAGCCUGGCUUGAGGUUGAACUCAGUGCUGCACAGCUGCAAACAGUGUACUUUGAGAUCAAGUGGUGCCUCUUUACAGCAAAGUAAGAAUAAGCUGCUCUGAGCUGCUAUGCUGGCAGUAGGAAGAGAGGACAGGGGAAGUUAAGACAGGUGUGCAAAAGGAUCCAGCCUAGGGCAAAGGAGCACGUCUGGCAUUUCCUGGAGCAGUGCAACAGUGCAAGUCUCCCUGUGCACUGCGGGAGAUGUUUGCCUAUCUCACUCUGACCCUGAGAUGACAAGGAGGAGGAACCUGAAGGCAAGUGCAAGCUGAAAAGAGCAUGAGCACAUUUUUCAUUUCUAACAUGCCAUGGAGUACUUCGAUUGCCUGAUAGCAACUGUAUGGGAAAAUUCUGCCUUAUCGCUUAGUUUCAAAUUUCUUUCUCCUCUGGGGACAGGAGACAGCACUUACAUGUGCAGGCAAAAAAUGUGGGAGUACUCUGUGAAUUCUCUGAUGACUAGAAAACUCCAGACUUCAAUAACUUAACAAAACAAACCCAAAACUCCUAAACGGCACCACCUCAGCUGUUAAAAGGAAAUGCGUUUUUUCUGUCAGUGUAUUCGCCAUUUCAGUCUCAUUCCUGUUGUGACUGUUUUUCUUUUUUUUCCCCCUCCCCAGCUGCUGACAACAGUGCACUUGUGCAACUAUUUCCUGCACUUUCCUGCAGAUCACUUCCUUUCCUCCAGCUCUGGAAGGAGGUUGUACCGUGUCACCUCAGCUGACCAGACCUGCACCCACAUACUUGUUUCCCAUGUGGAUGGAUGCUGGGCUCCCAGCGAGGGUGUUGCUGCUCCCACACGUGGAACAUACUUUUGUGAUGAACAUACACAUGUUCCCCUGGGGCAGGCAUGUCCAACCUGCGGCCCACAUGUGGCCUGGCCCAGUCCAUCCUGCAGUUGCCCUGUGCCAUCAUGGCAAUGGCUCUGCCCCACUGAGUGACCCUAGGCUUGCACCCAUUGCUCACAGCAACCACACACAGGUGUGCAGUUGGCACUGCAUAGGCUGAAACCGGGAUGUGGAGAGGUCAUGGUGCAGUGCUGACUCAAGUGAUGGCACAUAAUUACAUGUGUUGUGGCAUUGGCAGUGCAAGCACUUGUGAGCAAUUGUUUUCAAGGAUGAAGCACAGGAAGAGCAAAAUUUCAUCAGAAAUCUCUGCUAAACACCUUGAGAGCUCCCUAAGAAUGGCAACUGCUGCUGUCAAACUAUGCUUAUGUGUUAGUUCCUCAAAAACAAGGUCACGCAUUCCAGCAGAUUUAUGAUUUUCUUAUUUUAAUUAAAAAUAUUGAAGAUUAAAAUAAGUUUGUUACCUAUAUGCAUUAACUAUAUAAUAUAUUUGACAAGGGCUGCUCUGGAAUUAAUGGCUUCUAUUUCAUUACGUAGGCCUGCAGUGUCAGAGGCAGAAGUUGGUUGGUAUGGCAGCAGAGGUUGAACCUUCCCACCAAUACUGUAACGUUGCUGUGUGACAGAUGGCAGAAGAAGUCUGACAGAAUGGCACCUGAUAUGGAAGUGUGUAUGGAGCAAAGGGUGCUCUUUAUCAGUGAGAGAAAUGUAAAACUACAGAGAGUGAAUGACCGAUGGCAUAGAGACUGUCACCUUUAUUUUGUAUCUAGAAAUAUGCAGAAAGCAACAGUACAAAGUUCUCCUGGAUGACCAAGAUGCCUUAGCUGUGACUUGGGCUGUUGACAGCAGAAAAGGCAAGCUGCUCCUUUCUGGGCUUCAGAAGUAAACUGGUGACGAAGGCAUGAGUUGGGAUGGAAGCUCCUCAACAUGGUGGAGACUGUCCCCAGCUGCUGCUGCUGCUGGAAAUAGCUUGGGACUUGAUGAAAGGCAAUCCAAACAAGAGCUGGCUUGCAUGCGCAGGUCCUUCACGGUGUGGUGCCAACUUGUGAGGGAGUUCAUUUACCAGUGACAAGUUUUAACCGUG
This is a long non-coding RNA of Lagopus muta (rock ptarmigan), 4311 nucleotides long. RefSeq lists it as uncharacterized. The record is from RefSeq and is a predicted model, not a curated record. NCBI's taxonomy places the organism in Eukaryota, Metazoa, Chordata, Aves, Galliformes, Phasianidae. The transcript is spliced from 7 exons.